UUUUACUUUUCUAGCAAGUCGCAUUAAGCAAUUUGUUUGACCAUGUUAUGAGGAACCGUUCCUUCAUUGCCACAUCUAACUGUUCUACUUUGUUUCACGUUGUACAGAUUUAACUUUCCAGAGUUUAGAUUCAUUAGUUGUUUUGUGAGUUUUGCAGAGAAUAUAACUCUUCCUUCGAUUCAACGCUUUCUUCCUCUUUUGUCACCUUACAUGGAAGCAAAAUCAUAAGGAGCUGAUUUGGUGGGUGGAGAGGAUCUGAUAGAACAGAUAAAAGCAGGGUUCGUGGAGUUUGAUUAACUAAUUGCUUCUCCAGGAGAAAAAACUCAUGGUUCUUGGCACAACAAGUGAAGUAGAUUUCUUGUAAAUGAAUUUCUUCACGAGCAUCACUAUAGUGUUACUCAUCAAUUUGAUGUCUCUCAUGACAUUCAAAACAGUGUUGAGGGGAAAAUAAAGAAGACAAUGGACAAGGCCUUUUGGGAUGGUAUCAUGGAAAAUGAAGCAGGUGAAAAAAGGCCUGCAUCAUAUUCUUCCAAAGACAUGGGUGGUCAAUUAUGAAAUUUAUCCCUUAUGGUACGAUAUAUGCAGGAAUAUGUGUUGUAUAACUUGAUUUGUAAUAUUGGAGUAGGGAAUUAAGUAUAUAUAGAUGCGGACAAAGGUAAUAAAAUCAUUGAAUGUAACUAUUAAAUCAUAACUACAUAUAUGUAUAUAUACCUUGUAUGUGUGAA
Molecule: long non-coding RNA, 725 nt
Organism: Glycine soja
Lineage: Eukaryota; Viridiplantae; Streptophyta; Magnoliopsida; Fabales; Fabaceae
Exons: 4
Source: RefSeq, a predicted model, not a curated record